AUUUAUAUAGUUUAAAAAAACAUUAUAUUUUCAAUAUAAAAAUAAAAUUAUUUAAUUUUUAUAAAUA
RNAcentral lists this transfer RNA (67 nucleotides) under Deronectes doriae. RNAcentral's name for it is "tRNA-Glu". The record is from RNAcentral. Lineage: Eukaryota; Metazoa; Arthropoda; Insecta; Coleoptera; Dytiscidae.